This is a long non-coding RNA of Piliocolobus tephrosceles (Ugandan red Colobus), 729 nucleotides long. RefSeq lists it as uncharacterized. The transcript has 2 exons. The record is from RefSeq and is a predicted model, not a curated record. Lineage: Eukaryota; Metazoa; Chordata; Mammalia; Primates; Cercopithecidae.
UGAAGUACUGACGGAGCUUCACGUGGAGCAACACAGAGGAGCCUCAGAAGCACCCACCGUGCUGCUGCCUGGAAGAGGCAGACGCGGAAGGCCACACGUUCUACGACCUCAUCUGUGGGAAACGCACAGAGCCGACGGCCGCCAGGGCCUGGGAGGAGGGGCACAGGAGGGCCGGCUAUCGGGAUGGUGUUUCUCCUGCGGGCGGUGGGCCGGAUGACCCACUGCAGCACCACGGGAGUGGACUCAAUGCCGCUGAACUACCUGGACUUUCAAGGGGUAAAUUCCAAGCUCUGCUCUGAGGCCUGACCGUCCCUGGCCGCCAAGCGUCUGCUGACUGAGAGCUCCAGCUCCCGAGAGGUGCCCAGUACCUGGUGAGCAGAGGGUCUGAAGGAGCAGGUGCCUCCUCUUCAGGCACCUGUGGUCACUUCACAGUGAACGAGGCUCCAGCCGGGUGCCCUGAGAAGUGGCCAACACCCUACCCAGGAGAAGACCGCACAGCCACGGCCAACGUGGAGCUCUAACUCAGGGCUCUGGCCUCCAGCCCAGUCCUUUUCCUUGAGUAGGGACGACCUUCACAGUGGCCUCUCCACAUUCCAUGAGUGGGGAGCACGUGUGGUAAUGACAGGCAGCCUGCAGGUGCCUGCUAUGCAUGAGGGCCACGGCCGAUGGAAAGCUCAAUCAUGAGUGAAAAAAAAGAAAGUGUUUCAGAAAAUAUAACAAGUCAGCGGG